CCCGGUUUCCGUGUCCAACGUUUGACCAUCCGUCUUAUUUAAAAAAAUUAUAAAAAAAAUUAAAAAGACAAGUCACGCAUAAAAUAUUAAUCAUGUUUUAUCAUCUAACAAUAAUGAAAAUACGAAUUAUAAAAAAAUUUCAUAUAAGACGGAUAGUCAAAGUUGAACACGUAAACCCAGGGUUUGACUUUUU
Molecule: non-coding RNA, 193 nt
Organism: Oryza barthii
Lineage: Eukaryota; Viridiplantae; Streptophyta; Magnoliopsida; Poales; Poaceae
Source: Rfam